AUGGCGCCGCCGUCGCAACUGGUGCUUGCGGCCUCCUCCACCGACGCCGGCGUGGCCGCGUGGGACCUCCGCACGGGGGCCGAGGCCAUCCGCCACCGCCCCUGCGCCUCCCGGCCACGUGCCAUCGCUGCCGUCGCCGGCCGCUUCCUCGCCGCCGCCCAAGUCGCCGCCGGCAACUCCGCCCCCAUCCACUACUACCACUGGGACAAGCCUCAGGUGGCUGUGAAGAGCUUCCCCGCCGAGCCAAUCCGCGCGCUCAUUGCUGAUCCAGAGGGGAACUAUCUCAUCGGCGGCGGUGUGUCCGGUGACAUAUUCUUUUGGGAGGUGGCUAGUGGAGAGCUGCUUGUCCGAUGGCAUGCUCACUAUCGUGAUGUUAGGUGCCUAGCCCUGUAUGACAUGUUGCUUGUCUCGGCGUCCGAGGAUGGGAGCAUCAAAGUUUGGGAUCUGCUCACGAUGCUUGAUGAGCAAUCAAGGUUUGAGGCAAAGACACCAUACCUAUACAACUUUAAUCAGCACACACUUCCUGUAACUGAUAUUGCUUGUUUUCAUGGAGCAAUUGCUUUGUCAUCUUCAGAGGAUCGUACAUGUAAAAUAUGGAGUCUAUCAGAGGGCAGAAUGCUGAGAAGUAUUUCAUUUCCUGCUAUCAUUGAUUCUGUCGAAAUAGACCCAAGAAGUCAUAUUUUCUAUGCUGGUGGUAGAGAUGGAAAGAUAUAUGUUACUGCUAUGGGUGUUGAUGUCUCCUCUCAGGGCCGUGAUGAUUUGUCUAUUCUUGGUAUUCUGGAUGACCACAGCAAGGCGGUAACGAGCUUAACAUCAAGUACAGAUGGCCUUCUACUAGUCUCUGGUUCGGAGGAUGGUAAUGUUCGGGUUUGGGAUACCAGAAGUCAGCAAGUAACCCGGAAAUUCAAACACUCCCAAGGUCCAGUAACUAAUGUUCUCAUAGUAACACCCAAAAGAUUAAAUCUGCCACCUUUACAACCAUUGCGUAAAGUGUGUGCAGCGAGUGGCGAAGUUGAACCACGGGCUGUAAUUCUGCCCAACCCUGAAAAUGAUGUUCAUAUUGCUGGAAAUCUCAGCUCUAACCUUCUAGAGCAGCUCUUGGAUGCACAGCAGCAGCAUGGCAAUUCUAGGUUAUUUGAUUCUGGGGUGAGCACUCUGAAUGGCGUACCAAACCAACAGGGUACAGAAUGGAGAAGUAAAUACCUAGAGUUGCAGGAUCUCUUUGUGCAUGAGGUUCUUGGUGAUAUGCCAUCUUAA
This 1257-nucleotide ribosomal RNA is filed under the name Triticum aestivum (bread wheat). Its description in RNAcentral is "partial small subunit ribosomal RNA". The record is from RNAcentral. Lineage: Eukaryota; Viridiplantae; Streptophyta; Magnoliopsida; Poales; Poaceae.